This 58-nucleotide transfer RNA is filed under the name Salmo salar (Atlantic salmon). It matches the Rfam family "tRNA", at positions 8 to 63 of the family's 71-position model. Rfam says of the family: Transfer RNA (tRNA) molecules are approximately 80 nucleotides in length. Their secondary structure includes four short double-helical elements and three loops (D, anti-codon, and T loops). Further hydrogen bonds mediate the characteristic L-shaped molecular structure. tRNAs have two regions of fundamental functional importance: the anti-codon, which is responsible for specific mRNA codon recognition, and the 3' end, to which the tRNAs corresponding amino acid is attached (by aminoacyl-tRNA synthetases). tRNAs cope with the degeneracy of the genetic code in two manners: having more than one tRNA (with a specific anti-codon) for a particular amino acid; and 'wobble' base-pairing, i.e. permitting non-standard base-pairing at the 3rd anti-codon position. RNAcentral also lists the same sequence under 1 other name. The record is from Rfam by way of RNAcentral. Lineage: Eukaryota; Metazoa; Chordata; Actinopteri; Salmoniformes; Salmonidae.
UGGCUCGGUUGAUAGAGCAUAACGCUUGCAAUGCUAGGGUUGUGGGUUUGAUUCCCAC